GUUUUUUCUCCCAUCUUACAGAUGAAAUCACGGAGGCUCAGGAGGUGUUCUUCACUAUGAGAUGUGCGUGAGGAACGACGGGCUGUCUCUUCCCAGGGGGUCCUAAAGACAGACCUUCAACACAGUACAAGGGUUAAACACGUAUGUUUCUUUCAGAGCACAAGGUCGCUGUCAAGGAACAGCUGAACAACCCUGGUGACUUUUCCUGUGACGUGGGGACAAGGCUGGGGCCGAGGCUGCAAACCAGGACUUUACUCUGAGAUGAAAAUAAAUCUUGUUGAGGCCUCUGUGCAGAGGAGGCUGGCUUGACUGCUGG
This 316-nucleotide long non-coding RNA is filed under the name Equus caballus (horse). RNAcentral describes it as "lncRNA (ENSECAG00000055701.1)". The record is from RNAcentral. Lineage: Eukaryota; Metazoa; Chordata; Mammalia; Perissodactyla; Equidae.